AUCUAUCUAUUUGACAAACCUGGAGCAGUUACUAUCUUCUCCUAAAGUUUCUACUAAGAUGCAAGAAAAAAGAUUGUCCUUGUGCUUCCUGUCUGUCUGACUGUGGCAGCCAAGAUUGAAUGGGGAAAGAAAGGG
This is a small nucleolar RNA of Eubalaena glacialis (North Atlantic right whale), 135 nucleotides long. RefSeq annotates it as small nucleolar RNA SNORA31. NCBI's taxonomy places the organism in Eukaryota, Metazoa, Chordata, Mammalia, Artiodactyla, Balaenidae. The transcript has a single exon. The record is from RefSeq and is a predicted model, not a curated record.